RNAcentral lists this ribosomal RNA (555 nucleotides) under Sicydium punctatum (spotted algae-eating goby). RNAcentral describes it as "partial 16S ribosomal RNA". It matches the Rfam family "Bacterial large subunit ribosomal RNA", at positions 1853 to 2618 of the family's 2925-position model. The record is from RNAcentral. Lineage: Eukaryota; Metazoa; Chordata; Actinopteri; Gobiiformes; Gobiidae.
UCCCGCCUGCCCUGUGACUUGUUUAACGGCCGCGGUAUUUUGACCGUGCGAAGGUAGCGUAAUCACUUGUCUUUUAAAUGAAGACCUGUAUGAAUGGCAUAACGAGGGCUAAGCUGUCUCCUUUUUCCAGUCAAUGAAAUUAAUCUUCCCGUGCAGAAGCGGGAAUCUAAACAUAAGACGAGAAGACCCUAUGGAGCUUCAGACUAAAGGCAGCUCACAUUAAAAUAACUGGACAAACAGAACAAAUCAAGUGACCCCUGCCCUAAUGUUUUUGGUUGGGGCGACCGCGGGGGAACAAAAAUCCCCCAUGUGGAAUAGGAAUUUUAAAACUAGAGCCACAGCUCUCACAAGCAGAAUUUCUGACCAUCAAGACCCGGCAAAGCCGAUCAACGGACCGAGUUACCCUAGGGAUAACAGCGCAAUCCCCUUUUAGAGCCCAUAUCGACAAGGGGGUUUACGACCUCGAUGUUGGAUCAGGACAUCCUAAUGGUGCAGCCGCUAUUAAGGGUUCGUUUGUUCAACGAUUAAAGUCCUACGUGAUCUGAGUUCAGACCG